UAUAUGAUUUUGAUAACCCAAUUUUACGUAUUUCAAAAUUAAUAAUGUAAUUAGAAAAUAUUUGGAGAAUCAUGCACUUUCAGCUUAUGUGUAUUUUAAUGCCAAAAAUACCCUUCACCUUGCCAGCUAAGCGUUCCACAUCUGAAAAUUCAUAAGAGAAAAAACCCUCAGAAAAGCCACAAAGCCAAUAUUUCUCUCAUAUACUGCUUUUCCCAUUCUCUCCCAUUCUCAAUCUCAGAAACCCAAAAUGCUGUAAAACCUAACCUCUUUCAUUUCUGUAACAUUCUCGUCUCCCAUUUUGUUGAUAAACAUCAACAGCCCAAAACCUAACUUUCCCAAAAAAAAAGUAAUAAUGCUGCGGAGGAGAAGAAUUUAUGAGGUGGAUGUGUUGGUAAAUGAGAAACGAAUCAGAAGGAAGAGACACGGGACUACGGGAGGAAAUCGGGAAAGGUGAUAUCCUUAUUGUUCCCAAAUUACUUGAUCCAGAAACCCUAAUUUCUGAAACGAAGGUCAGAUCCGGGGAAAAUUGGUGAUCGGAAUCAAUGGUGGGUGCAUCGAGCUCAUGGUCUCGCGCACUGGUUCAGAUCUCACCUUACACCUUCUCCGCCAUCGGCGUUUGCGUCUUGGGUGCCGCUUGGGAAUUUAUAUAACUGGAAGUAGUUUAAUUGGUGUUGCCUUCAAAGCUCUUCGGAUUACUUCAAAAAAUCUGAUCAGGAGAACAGAAAAUGAAUAAACUUCCAGCUAUCAAAUUGACUAGUGAACAAAAAGGUUUCAGCUAACAAAUUGAAACAACAGGCGGUCAAGGCUUCCUACGAACAUGAAAGGCAAAAAUAUGCUGAAACUUCUCAAUCAAUACCUUCUUAUUCUUGCCCAAAUGGGGGUAUUAUUUCUUCUCAUUAUUUUCCUUGUUAAUUUGGUUACAAUUGAAGUGCAUUGCAUUAGCAUUGAGUCCAUAGUUUUGAAUUCUUAUUCCAUUGGUUUUGAACUUUGAAGUUUAUUUAGACAGUGUAACUUGUCCAAAAGAAAAACAGUGGAAAGUUCAAAAUUCUGAACCAUGUUUACUUCAUCCUGGAGAUCCUCCUAGAAGACUAAUUUUCACCCAAAUGAUUAGAUGUUGUCAAAUAUUAUUUGACUAUGUGGCUUAUUUCUACAGGUGCGGCCUUAUAAACUGUGGAUUGAAAUGGAAAAUAUUGAGAAAGGAUUGUAAAAAUCAUUGCUCAGAAUAAUAUAAAAUGGCUUGUUAUGGGAGCUGCAGCAGAUAAAUAUUAUUCAAAGUAUUAACCAUCUAUUACAAGUUCUUAUUGUUGACUGCAUUGAUUUAUUUGAUAUUGUUGUAGAAUUACUUGAGGCUUCCACCCUAGGCAUUUGGGAUAAAAGUUUUGUUGAAUUUAGUGGAAUUUCUAGAAGCUUCUACAAGAAUUAUCCAAUAUUAGUGCACAAGUAUUGUUGCUCUGUAGGAGGCCUCUUGAUGUAGCCUAGUCGGUUAUAAAUUGCUAUGAAGAUUAACCUAAUUUUAAGUCAUAAAAGAUCAGCUCCUUAUAGUGCUAUACUUUUCUUUUCAGCAUUUGAGGAAUUAAAUUGGCAGACAUAUCUUUUCAAUAUAUUUCUCAGGCAGUUGAUAAAGUUGGGUUAUUUCUUUUGUGUUAGAAUCAAUGUUGCUCUGGCGCUUCAAAAUAUGUGAUACAUGUAGAGGGUUAUGGAUUGUGAGCUAUCAAUGGGAGCAUCCAUCAAAGAAAAGAGGAACACGUUCCUAGUAUACAGGAAGUUCCACAGUAUACUUUCUUAAUUUGUUCCUCUUUUGAAUGAUAUCUCAAAACAAGCAAAGCACUCACAUUGCAUAUGCUAUGUUGUUUUAACAAAUCAUUUACCCAAGCUAUGAAAAAAAAAAACAAAAGGAAAAUUGGAUGCUUUGAUAAUUUAGCCAUGUCUUUAUAUUUGAGGAUUAGAUGAAUUGAUACCUAAACACAUUGGAGAUUGAUCAAACUUAUGUAUCUAAUUCAGAAACUUAUUGGUGUUAGAAUUAUAUAAUCUUAUUGUGAACCUUUUAUAUCAUUGCCUUCUAACUAGAUAACUUCAUCCUCUUAGUUAUUUAAUAUUUUAUAAGUACGUAUUCUUUAAAAGAAUUUGAAGACUGUAGCAUGUAACAACAUGAUUGAGAAUGAAAAUUUCAGCAAAAGGAAGAAAAUGUUUAUUUAAAGUUAAGUUGCUUGUUGCCUUGAUUUUAACUCAAGGCAUUAGCUUUGGUAUGUGCCUGUGCAAUUAAUUAUAAUCAAGGUAUUGUUUUUAGGCUGAUAACAUUAAAAUGCCCUGAUAACCUUAAAAUGUGCAGAUAUCAAAAUAGGUAAAACUUAUACCAAUUUAAUUGAACUUGCAUUUGCUUUCAGUUUCUAAAUUUACUGAUCCAGACUCAUGAAGAUUGCAGGAAAAUGGUUAAGGUCAAGUCAUUCAGAGAAAAAGGUGGAGCCUGAGGCAUCUUUUGAAAUUUUGACCAACCCACCGUGGGUGGUUCCUGCUGAGGAGAAGUUCAUUAAAUUUCUGGAAGAAAGCAGAUAUGUCCCAGGGGAAAAACUCAUAAAGAAAGAAAAAAAUGUGCAUUUGUGUUGAGCUAGUACAACAUGAAUAGAUUUUGUAACUCUUUUGUAUUAGUGAACUAUGUUUUGUUCUUCACUUACCUUACCAUCCCCUCCCCACAUUUCUCAGAAGCAAAAUAAUGUUCUCAAAUCUCUCCCUCAUUGUAACUGUGUAAAUGUGGGUCUAAUUGAAACCGGUCUUGUUUGUUUCAAUCCAGUAGCUUGAUUUUUCUUCA
Molecule: long non-coding RNA, 2806 nt
Organism: Vitis riparia (riverbank grape)
Lineage: Eukaryota; Viridiplantae; Streptophyta; Magnoliopsida; Vitales; Vitaceae
Exons: 4
Source: RefSeq, a predicted model, not a curated record